GUGCACCAAGGGAGUUUUCUAUAUAUGGAGCGAGGACCAAAGAUGAGACAGGCACCUAUCUGGGAACAGUGGUCUAUGAUCUGGACGGAGCUAUGUUUCAGACCUUUAGUCUUUCUAAUCCAGACAACAGUGUUUUCAGAUAUGUGAAGCUACAGACUGAGAACAACUGGGGAAACAUAGACUACACCUGCCUCUACAGCUUCAGGGUUCAAUGGAAAACUCC
Mugil cephalus (flathead mullet) is the source of this 223-nucleotide long non-coding RNA. RefSeq lists it as uncharacterized. The transcript has 3 exons. The record is from RefSeq and is a predicted model, not a curated record. Lineage: Eukaryota; Metazoa; Chordata; Actinopteri; Mugiliformes; Mugilidae.